RNAcentral lists this ribosomal RNA (1269 nucleotides) under Staphylococcus sp. LAB1. RNAcentral's name for it is "bacterial SSU rRNA". It matches the Rfam family "Bacterial small subunit ribosomal RNA", at positions 184 to 1442 of the family's 1533-position model. The record is from RNAcentral. Lineage: Bacteria; Bacillati; Bacillota; Bacilli; Caryophanales; Staphylococcaceae.
AACCGCAUGGUUCUAAAGUGAAAGAUGGUUUUGCUAUCACUUAUAGAUGGACCCGCGCCGUAUUAGCUAGUUGGUAAGGUAACGGCUUACCAAGGCGACGAUACGUAGCCGACCUGAGAGGGUGAUCGGCCACACUGGAACUGAGACACGGUCCAGACUCCUACGGGAGGCAGCAGUAGGGAAUCUUCCGCAAUGGGCGAAAGCCUGACGGAGCAACGCCGCGUGAGUGAUGAAGGGUUUCGGCUCGUAAAACUCUGUUAUUAGGGAAGAACAAACGUGUAAGUAACUGUGCAUGUCUUGACGGUACCUAAUCAGAAAGCCACGGCUAACUACGUGCCAGCAGCCGCGGUAAUACGUAGGUGGCAAGCGUUAUCCGGAAUUAUUGGGCGUAAAGCGCGCGUAGGCGGUUUCUUAAGUCUGAUGUGAAAGCCCACGGCUCAACCGUGGAGGGUCAUUGGAAACUGGGAAACUUGAGUGCAGAAGAGGAAAGUGGAAUUCCAUGUGUAGCGGUGAAAUGCGCAGAGAUAUGGAGGAACACCAGUGGCGAAGGCGACUUUCUGGUCUGUAACUGACGCUGAUGUGCGAAAGCGUGGGGAUCAAACAGGAUUAGAUACCCUGGUAGUCCACGCCGUAAACGAUGAGUGCUAAGUGUUAGGGGGUUUCCGCCCCUUAGUGCUGCAGCUAACGCAUUAAGCACUCCGCCUGGGGAGUACGACCGCAAGGUUGAAACUCAAAGGAAUUGACGGGGACCCGCACAAGCGGUGGAGCAUGUGGUUUAAUUCGAAGCAACGCGAAGAACCUUACCAAAUCUUGACAUCCUUUGAAAACUCUAGAGAUAGAGCCUUCCCCUUCGGGGGACAAAGUGACAGGUGGUGCAUGGUUGUCGUCAGCUCGUGUCGGGGAGAUGUUGGGGUAAAGUCCCGCAACGAGCGCAAACCCUUAAGCUAAGUUGCCAUCAUUAAAGUGGGCCACUCUAGGUUGACUGCCGGUGAACAAACCGGAGGGAAGGUGGGGGAUGGACGUCAAAUCAUCAUUGCCCCUUAUGAUUUGGGGCUCACACACUGGUUACAAUGGAAAUAUACAAAGGGAACCUAAACCGGCAAGGUCUUGCAAAUCCCUAUAAAGUGGUCCUCAGUUCGGAUGGAAGUCUGAACCUCAACUACUGAAGCUGGAAUCCUUGUAAUCGAAAUCAGCUGGUCGGGGAAUACUUCCCGGGUUUGUCACCCCCCCCGUCCCCCCGAAAUUUGACCCCCAACCGGGGAAAACCUU